GAUGAACGCUGGCGGCGUGCCUAAUAGAUGCAAUUCGAGCGAACGGACGAGAAGCUUUCUUCUCUGAUGUUAGCGGCGGACGGGUGAGUAACACGUGGAUAACCUACCUAUAAGACUGGGAUAACUUCGGGAAACCGGAGCUAAUACCGGAUAAUAUUUUGAACCGCAUGGUUCAAAAGUGAAAGACGGUCUUGCUGUCACUGAUACAUGGAUCCCCGCUGCAUUAGCUAGUUGGUAAGGUAACGGCUUACCAAGGCAACGAUGCAUAGCCGACCUGGGAGGGUGAUAGGCCACACUGGACCUGAGACACGGACCAGAAUCCUACGGGAGGCAGCAGUAGGGAAUCUUCCGCCAUGGGAGAAAGCCUGACGGAGCAACGCCGCGUGACUGAUGCAGGUCUUCGGAUCGUAAAACUCUGCUAUUAGGGAAGAACAUAUGUGUAAGUAACUGUGCACAUCUUGACGGUACCUAAUCCGAAAGGCAGGGCUCACUACGUG
RNAcentral lists this ribosomal RNA (497 nucleotides) under uncultured bacterium. Its description in RNAcentral is "partial 16S ribosomal RNA". It matches the Rfam family "Bacterial small subunit ribosomal RNA", at positions 28 to 507 of the family's 1533-position model. The record is from RNAcentral.